Molecule: ribosomal RNA, 253 nt
Filed under: uncultured bacterium
Lineage: Bacteria
Description: partial 16S ribosomal RNA
Rfam family: Bacterial small subunit ribosomal RNA
Source: RNAcentral
UACAGAGGGGGCUAGCGUUGUUCGGAAUUACUGGGCGUAAAGGGCGCGUAGGCGGCCCGCUAAGUCGAACGUGAAAUCCCCGGGCUCAACCCGGGAACUGCGUCCGAUACUGGCAGGCUUGAAUCCGGGAGAGGGAUGUGGAAUUCCAGGUGUAGCGGUGAAAUGCGUAGAUAUCUGGAGGAACACCGGUGGCGAAGGCGGCAUCCUGGACCGAUAUUGACGCUGAGGCGCGAAAGCCAGGGGAGCAAACGGG